CCUACGGGCGGCUGCAGUGGGGAAUAUUGGACAAUGGGCGAAAGCCUGAUCCAGCCAUGCCGCGUGUGUGAAGAAGGCCUUCGGGUUGUAAAGCACUUUCAGUGGGGAAGAAAGCCUUGGGGCUAAUACCCUCGAGGAAGGACAUCACCUACAGAAGAAGCACCGGCUAACUCCGUGCCAGCAGCCGCGGUAAUACGGAGGGUGCGAGCGUUAAUCGGAAUUACUGGGCGUAAAGCGCGCGUAGGCGGUCUGAUAAGCCGGUUGUGAAAGCCCCGGGCUCAACCUGGGAACGGCAUCCGGAACUGUCAGGCUAGAGUGCAGGAGAGGAAGGUAGAAUUCCCGGUGUAGCGGUGAAAUGCGUAGAGAUCGGGAGGAAUACCAGUGGCGAAGGCGGCCUUCUGGACUGACACUGACGCUGAGGUGCGAAAGCGUGGGUAGCAAACAGGAUUAGAUACCCGGGUAGUC
Molecule: ribosomal RNA, 465 nt
Filed under: Vreelandella stevensii
Lineage: Bacteria; Pseudomonadati; Pseudomonadota; Gammaproteobacteria; Oceanospirillales; Halomonadaceae
Description: partial 16S ribosomal RNA
Rfam family: Bacterial small subunit ribosomal RNA
Source: RNAcentral